UAGGUCUUCUUUCAAAGCGAGCUAAAGAAAGAAAAUGAAUAGCCAAAUUACCUUCUUUUCCCCUAGUAUGGACUCUUGACUACAGUUGGUUAUUGUUUUCAUUUGCAGAAAGGAGACGGCUAAAGAAGACAGACAUUCCACUACUGCACAGGCUCCUGCAGGGACCCUCCAAAAAGAACGCCCGCAUUUUCCUCAUGGAUAAAGAUACAGAAGAAAUUAGCAGUGAUGUGGCUCAAUACAUUAACUUUCAUUUUUCUCUCCUGGAAUCCAUCCUUCAGAGAUUAAAUGAAGAAGAGAAAAGAGAGAUUCAAAGAAUAAUAACAAAAUUCAGUACAGAAAAGGCUAUUAUACUGAAAUGUCUUCAAAGUAAACAGGUAGUAAAAACAGAGACGACAGUUUAGUGGCCGCUAUUGCUAAAACACUUCAACAAAAUCAGAGAGAUGUUACUAUUUAAUGAGUGUAUCCACCCUAUACUUGCAGUCAUGCAAAUAUAUAUGAACUCAAAUCUGUAGAAAAUUGAAUGUUGAAAAAGCUUGUCUCUCUCAGAGGUGAUGAUGUUCACAGUGGGACUGAAAUGAGCUUGAAUUUAGUUUCAGUAGCUGAAAUAAGCUUGGAUACUGUGUAUUCCAAAUAGCUUUAAGAGAGAAACAAUGAACUGGAAUUUAAAUGGCGUCUUCAACUUCACGUAGUUUAAAUGCCAUUUAGCUUGAACUGUCAAGAGAACUGGAAUAUCAACAACCAACUCUCAGAAAUGAUUCAGAAGUCAAAGCUGCCAGCUCAUGAAAUAAAAGAGAAGCAUAUACUUACCCCCAUCAAGAAAUCUGAUGGUGAUAGUCUUAUAGCUCCUUGAAAACUCUAAUAUUUUCAUAAAAUCUAGGGCUGUCUUUAUGUGGGUAGGUGACUUUUGGCAACCUGAAGCAUCAGAGCUAUAAAUCCUUUGGGAAGGAAAGGAUUGUGGACUCUUAAGACUAAUUUUCUCAACCUGAGCCCCCUUUUUUGCUGUUUUACUGAUGAC
This is a long non-coding RNA of Myotis brandtii (Brandt's bat), 1015 nucleotides long. RefSeq lists it as uncharacterized. The record is from RefSeq and is a predicted model, not a curated record. The transcript is spliced from 3 exons. NCBI's taxonomy places the organism in Eukaryota, Metazoa, Chordata, Mammalia, Chiroptera, Vespertilionidae.